Marmota monax (woodchuck) is the source of this 1993-nucleotide long non-coding RNA. RefSeq lists it as uncharacterized. The record is from RefSeq and is a predicted model, not a curated record. The transcript is spliced from 3 exons. Lineage: Eukaryota; Metazoa; Chordata; Mammalia; Rodentia; Sciuridae.
CAGGAGGGAAGAGGAAAGGGGACGAGGAAGGUGAGAGCCAGAGAGAGGCGGAGGGGAAGAGUGACGAGUGGAGGAGUUAUCGGUGGACACAGCAUCAUUGUAUGUGGUGCUGAGGAUCAAACCCGGGCCGCACGCAUGCCAGCUGGAUGUGUCACAGCAUGUAUCUGGCAACCUCCUGCCCGUCCUCUGUGGGCAGCGGCUCCGCUGGGCUCAUGAGUCUGAACAAAGUGGCUGUCAUCAGAGGCGAGAGAGGAGGCCCCUGAGUCCUUGCUGUUCCGAGAGCCUCCCGGACCCUGGUGCCCGCCUGUCCACUGCUACUGGGUCAGAAGCGCACGCCUCUCCUCAGUCCUCUGUCCCAGUCUGACCCGAGUCUUAGGUGACGCAGUUGGCCCCCAGCAGGGUCUGCUCUGACUCCUGCUUUCCCCUGGGUAAUGCCUCCAUGUGGCGACCAGAGCCGGUCAUCAGGGCCUGGUGGGGCCGUGGCCACCUUGCUGGCUGCCCGUCAGGUUUCUCCCGCUGCACAAGGGCCCUCUUUAUCCUCGGGCUGUGCUGGAGGCCUGCCCUCCUCCUGGGCCCAGUCUCCGCGGUCGCUCAGGUGGCCCCACCCUGGCCCUCGACGUGCAUUUUCCUUGGGCACUGAAGGUGACGUUCAGGUGCGGCUCUGGCCUCCCCCUCAGUCGGGGCUGAAGCACCCCUUUCUGGACCUCGAUUCAGGAAGAGCGUCAAAUGAGGACUGGUGAGGUUCUCACCAAGGGAGGAUCUACCAGUCCCUCUCCGUCUGUCUGCUGUCUCUCCACCCAUCCGUCCAUCUCUCUCGGUGGUAAUCUGCUCACCUCCAGAGGCACCGAGACGUAUUGCUGGGUUCAGCCUGAGUGGAGACAUCUCUAUUGGACCUGGCCCGCGUCUUUGGGCUCCCCAGGAAGAGGACCUUGAAGAAGCAUGGAGUGUGGUGGUGACAUGCUGGUGCCCCAGGACACAUGGCAGAGGCCUGGGGAUGGAGGCAGCCAGUAGCUGCACAAUGGCUGGCCAGUGACCUCCCAGGGUGACCAGGGUUCCUGGCAGUGGGGAGCGCGGGGAGCCUGGGUAGACCUGCCUCAGAGCCGCUCCAGGAGAGGGAGCCGGAGCCGGCUUGGCUCCCUGCGCCCCUCUGUCGUGGCCUCAGGGCUGCUUGUGGGUGUUACCCCUGACUCUGUCCUCUGCCCAGGCUGACAAGCCCCAGGGCCCAACACCGCAGGUGCCCACAGGAAGUGGCCUCCUCCAGCCAGGGGGUGAGGGCCGAGGGGGUGGCUGGGCACAGUGGCAUCUGCUGCACAUGGUUUGUACCCUUGUUGUUUUUCAAUAAGCCAGACUCUCUGUGCGAGGCCCUCAUAGGCUGCAGACGUGCUCGGCGCGCCCAGGGAGGACAGAAGUGUCAGCUGUUGGCACAGGGGACCGCUGAACCUGCAGGACAGGUGGCCAUGCAGGGUCUCUGCCCAGCCCCCAGAGGUCCUCUGGGCCCUGCCAGAUGACAAUGCCCUGCCAGGCUCCUGUCCCCAUUAUUGCAUGGGACUCAGUUAUACUAACACAACAUGUUGUGGCUUAUCUCACUCCCCCGCUCUCUGCUGAUGCUUUCUGGAAGCACCUCUCAAAUAAAGCCCUUGUGCCCAAAUAUUUGUCUGAGGGCGUUGUUCUUAAGGAUUUCCACUGUGGCAGGAUAACAGACCCCGAAGAUGCCCUAGGCACAUGCUUCUUUGCCCUUUCCUCCUCUCCUGGCCAGAAUGUGGGCGCAAUGGCUGGAACUGGAGCAACUCUUUUAGACCAUAAGGCAAGGCACUAAAUGGAACCAGAGAAUCAAGACUAAUCAGAAAACUGAGAAUGAGGCUCAGGAGAUAGGUGGCAACGAAGCAUUGGAGAGACUGGAUAUCACAGCGAAGCACAUUCUGGAAAGGCUGCAGCUGCUGUGUCGGCCGGCGCUGCACCCCUUCUCGCCUUGUCUGCUUGCUGGCGGUGCCAC